UACCUGGUUGAUCUUGCCAAUAGUCAUAUGCUUGUCUCAAAGAUUAAGCCAUGCACGUGUAAGUAUAAAUUAAUUCAGACUGUGAAACUGCGAAUGGCUCAUUAAAUCAGUUAUAGUUUGUUUGAUCGUAUUUGCUACUUGGAUAAUCGUAGUAAUUUUAGAGCUAAUAUGUGCAACAAACCCCGCCUUUUGGAAGGGAUGCAUUUAUUAGAUAAAAGGGCGACGCAGGCUUUGCCCGUUACUCUGAUGAUUCAUGAUAAUUUGACAGAUCGCAUGGCCAUCGUGCUGACGGCGCAUCAUUCAAAUUUCUGCCCUAUCAACUUUCGAUGGUAGGAUAGUGGCCUACUAUGUUGGUGAUUGGUGGCGGAGAAUUAGGAUUCGAUUCCGAAGAGGGAGCCUGAGAAACGGCUACCACAUCCAAGGAAGGUAGUGGGCGCACAAAUUACCCAAUCCUAGCAUGGGGAGGUAGUGACAAUAAAUAACAAUACCGAGCUCUUUGAGUUUGGUAAUUGAAAUGAGUACAAUCUAAAUCUUUUAACAAUGAUCCAUUGGAGGGCAAGUCUGGUGCCAGCAGUCGUGGUAAUUCCAGCUCCAAUAGCAUAUAUUUAAGUUGUUGCAGUUAAAAAACUCGUAAUUAGACCUUGGAUUGGGUUGAUUGGUCCGCCUCACGAUGUGCACCAAUUGGCUCGUCCCUUCUACUGGCAAUACACUCCUAGCCUUAACUGGCCAGGUCAUGCCUCUGGUACUGUUACUUUGAAGAAAUUAGAGUGCUCAAAGCAAGCCUACGCUCUGUAUACAUUAGCAUGAGAUAAUAUCAUAGGAUUCUGAUCCUAUUGUGUUGGCCUUUGGGAUCGGAAUAAUGAUUAACAGAGACAGUUGGGGGCAUUCGUAUUUCAUAGUCAGAGGUGAAAUUUUUGGAUUUACAAAAGAUGAACAACUGCGAAAGUGAAUGAUUUUGCCAUUUCUCGGAUUCGCGGGCACUGUUCACGUUCUCUCUCAGCCGGGCGACUGCUUCACUGUAGCUCCGUUUCCGGUGUUUGAGCUCGUGCGAUCUCUU
This 1057-nucleotide non-coding RNA is filed under the name Eucalyptus grandis. RNAcentral describes it as "Eukaryotic small subunit ribosomal RNA". It matches the Rfam family "Eukaryotic small subunit ribosomal RNA", at positions 1 to 973 of the family's 1831-position model. Lineage: Eukaryota; Viridiplantae; Streptophyta; Magnoliopsida; Myrtales; Myrtaceae. The record is from Rfam by way of RNAcentral.